This is a long non-coding RNA of Hippocampus comes (tiger tail seahorse), 890 nucleotides long. RefSeq lists it as uncharacterized. NCBI's taxonomy places the organism in Eukaryota, Metazoa, Chordata, Actinopteri, Syngnathiformes, Syngnathidae. The record is from RefSeq and is a predicted model, not a curated record. The transcript has 6 exons.
GCACGAGCUCAUUGUCUGAUUUCAUCGGCUGUUUUGCCACAGAGGAUCCGCGGACAUUCCGGCCAUUGUCCCCGGAAUAUUCAAGGCCAAAUACCCGUUCACGGCCAUUCGAGUUCAGAAUAAUAACAGCAGUGUUUGGAAAAACAAAUAACAAUAUGAAUCAUAACAGCUUCUAUUUCCGUACAGACGGACGGCUGCAUUGGACAUAAUUAAUUUAUCUUCCCCAACAAAACAUGAAGACAAAUGGAUCGUUUGUAUUGUUGUUUGACAGGAAAUGAACAAAGGUGGCAUUUCCUUGUGAAAAUUGCUUCACACCUGUGUUGUAUGCAAUCCACCAACCAGGAUUGCUGGGCAAGAUUCCACAAUCCCAGUUGGGGAACUUGACUCCACAGUGGCGGAAUUGCGCAAUGCCGAGCAAUUCCGACUGGUGGACAACAUGCAACACAGACCUACCACUUUGUCCUGUUCAUUGGGCUGGGCGUCCUGACCGGAGUUCCCGUUGACCCUCUUGUAAGCCGCGUCCAUCUUCUCUGGCGUGCAGGUGCCACCAGAGGGCGGUGGAGGACUAAGCAUGAGAUGCACAGGUGUCCUUUUGGAUGGAUCAAUAGGAGACUGGCCACCAGAGGGCGACAGUCGUCCACCACUGGUGUCCUAUUCCCGCCCCCCCCCUUCUAAUUCACAGCAGCCCCUGUUGCCGUGGCGACACUGAUCUGAGCAGGUGAUGCAUUGACAGCGAGCAGAUGGUUCCCUGCCGAGAUACCGGGAGUUCAACAAAAACCAUCCCCUUGAAAAAUCACCUUGGUUGGAUCGGAUGGCAAAGAAAACUUGCCAAGCAAAAGCCAGAACCCAAAGACCAGCACCGCAGCAUCACCAUGGUUGGAUGAAAGGUG